UCCUCCCUCUUUCUUCGUGCUUAACACAUGCAAGUCGAACGGAAAGGCCUCUUUCGGGGGGUACUCGAGUGGCGAACGGGUGAGUAACACGUGAGUAACCUGCCCUUGACUUUGGGAUAACUUCAGGAAACUGGGGCUAAUACCGGAUAGGAGCUCCUGCUGCAUGGUGGGGGUUGGAAAGUUUCGGCGGUUGGGGAUGGACUCGCGGCUUAUCAGCUUGUUGGUGGGGUAGUGGCUUACCAAGGCUUUGACGGGUAGCCGGCCUGAGAGGGUGACCGGCCAUAUUGGGACUGAGAUACGGCCCAGACUCCCACGGGAGGCAGCAGUGGGGAAUAUUGCACAAUGGGUGGAAGCCUGAUGCAGAAACGCCGGGUGCGGGAUGACGGCCUUCGGGUUGUAAACCGCUUUCGCUCAUGACGAAGCUUUGUGUGACGGUAGUGGGUAAAGAAGCACCGGCUAACUACGUG
This 467-nucleotide ribosomal RNA is filed under the name uncultured bacterium. RNAcentral describes it as "partial 16S ribosomal RNA". It matches the Rfam family "Bacterial small subunit ribosomal RNA", at positions 36 to 507 of the family's 1533-position model. The record is from RNAcentral.